GGGCCCGCACAAGCGGUGGAGCAUGUGGUUUAAUUCGAUGAUACGCGAGGAACCUUACCAGGGCUUAAAUGUAGUGGGACAGGUCUAGAGAUAGACCCUUCUUCGGACUCAUUACAAGGUGCUGCAUGGUUGUCGUCAGCUCGUGCCGUGAGGUGUCAGGUUAAGUCCUAUAACGAGCGCAACCCCUAUCGUUAGUUGCCAGCGGGUAAUGCCGGGAACUCUAGCGAAACUGCCGGUGCAAACCGAGAGGAAGGUGGGGAUGACGUCAAAUCAUCACGGCCCUUACGUCCUGGGCUACACACGUGCUACAAUGGCCGGUACAGAGAGCAGCCACUACGCGAGUAGGAGCGAAUCUAUAAAACCGAUCUCAGUUCGGAUCGGGGUCUGCAACUCGACCCCGUGAAGCUGGAAUCGCUAGUAAUCG
Molecule: ribosomal RNA, 424 nt
Filed under: uncultured bacterium
Lineage: Bacteria
Description: bacterial SSU rRNA
Rfam family: Bacterial small subunit ribosomal RNA
Source: RNAcentral